UCCAAUGGUGCAAAUAGAAUCAAAAGUUCCUGAUAUAGAAUAAGCAAAUGAUGGAAGAAGCCAAGUUUCCUGAGUGGCCACUAGGAAAACUCUGUCUUCUUUAUCAAAACUAUGAGGUGAGCAACACCAAGUCUUCAAUUUUCCUAUGCCAUUGGGCUUUAAGAUUUUUUAAUAUAAGCAGCUAGCAUUAAUUACCCUGACUAAUAAAUAGUAC
This 214-nucleotide long non-coding RNA is filed under the name Homo sapiens (human). RNAcentral describes it as "non-protein coding lnc-RIT2-3:2". Lineage: Eukaryota; Metazoa; Chordata; Mammalia; Primates; Hominidae. The record is from RNAcentral.